AUUGAACGCUGGCGGCAUGCUUUACACAUGCAAGUCGGACGAGUGGCGAACGGGUGAGUAACGCCUCGGAACGUACCGAGUAAUGGGGGAUAACUGUCCGAAAGGACAGCUAAUACCGCAUACUAUUCGAGCGGCCGAUGUCUGAUUAGCUGGUUGGCGGGGUAAAGGCUCACCAAGGCGAAGAUCAGUAGCGGGUCUGAGAGGAUGAACCGCCACACUGGGACUGAGACACGGCCCAGACUCCUACGGGAGGCAGCAGUGGGGAAUAUUGGACAAUGGGCGCAAGCCUGAUCCAGCCAUGCCGCGUGUCUGAAGAAGGCCUUCGGGUUGUAAAGGACUUUUGUCAGGGAAGCGGUACCUGAAGAAGAAGCACCGGCUAACUACGUGCCAGCAGCCGCGGUAAUUC
RNAcentral lists this ribosomal RNA (406 nucleotides) under uncultured bacterium. RNAcentral's name for it is "partial 16S ribosomal RNA". It matches the Rfam family "Bacterial small subunit ribosomal RNA", at positions 30 to 526 of the family's 1533-position model. The record is from RNAcentral.